RNAcentral lists this long non-coding RNA (1118 nucleotides) under Cricetulus griseus (Chinese hamster). Its description in RNAcentral is "lncRNA (ENSCGRG00015042489.1)". Lineage: Eukaryota; Metazoa; Chordata; Mammalia; Rodentia; Cricetidae. The record is from RNAcentral.
CUAGGAGUUGUCUUUGCUAGCCAUCCACCAUGGCAGAACGAGAAUUAUUGCUAAUGGGAAGGCGGGAAGGAGUGAUGUGCCUCAUCCCAGGAGACAAUUCUUCUGGGUGUCUUGUUUUUCCGUAUGACAGAAAAGCUUUUGUUUGAAGAUCUUUUCAAGGCCAUUUAGAUAGCAACCAUCCUUGUGUAAGAGAUACAGACUCUCCCUGGGACCAAGAGCAGUUUUUUGUUUUGUUUUUUAAUGUACAGGCAAAUAACAAAGUCUCUUGUGGGCAAAACUGGGCCAAGAUUGUUUGCAGACUCUUUCAUAGGACCUGGCUUCCUAGACUCACAGUGCUCAGAGGUGCAUAUGCAUACCCACCUGGGCUGCUGUUCCCAGGGAGCCUGGGGCUGGGGGAGGAUUACAGAAACACCAAACACAUCUUUUGUGCCUUCUCUCACCAUCUAUGACAGUGAGGCUUACUGUCUUGUGUGCUGGCAGCAGGGCAGGCUCCCAUUGCUUCCCAGUCCUCAGUGCCUAUCACAGGCCGGACUGGUGGAGCACAGUGAAGAGGAGGCUGGUGUGAACUCCAGGGCAGAAGACGACGGUACAGUCAUUCCUGAGAGGGAUAGGACAAUAUCUGGCUUUGUAGGCAGACAGGAGCAGAGCAGGGGCAUCUGUAAGGGUGUAAUCCAUAGGAGAGGGCCUUGGUUCAACCUUAGAUAGGCAAGCUCUAUAAACACAGCAAGCUCUUGGGUUGCCUUCUCCCUCUGUCUCUUGGCUGCAUUAGUGUUCCCUCAUAAUGCCAACUGCAGACUUUAUUUUUUUUAAGCCAAACUUUAUGAAGCACUUAGGGAAUCUAAUUCCUGAAACUGGAGCCUAGGAAUCUGGAUUACUUAUGGAUGUAAAGGUGGAUCUGUCUAUUUUCUGUGGUAAGUGGGAAGGCACUUGGAGUGGCACUGUUAGAUUAGAAGUGGCGGAAGUGCCUUACUGUAGAGGCAAGCUUUGAGGGUUCACACACGCAAGCCACACUCAGUGACACAGUUCACUUCCUGUUGCCUGGGGAUCGAAAUGUAAAACUCUCAGCUCUUCUUCAUUCCCACAUCUGCCUGCAAGCCUACCAGCCGUGAUGAUAAUGG